RNAcentral lists this ribosomal RNA (253 nucleotides) under uncultured bacterium. Its description in RNAcentral is "partial 16S ribosomal RNA". It matches the Rfam family "Bacterial small subunit ribosomal RNA", at positions 524 to 776 of the family's 1533-position model. The record is from RNAcentral.
UACAGAGGUCCCAAGCGUUGUUCGGAUUCACUGGGCGUAAAGGGUGCGUAGGUGGUCGGGUAAGUCUGAUGUGAAAUCUCCGAGCUUAACUCGGAAAUGGCAUUGGAUACUAUUCGGCUAGAGGGUUUGAGGGGGGGCUGGAAUACUUGGUGUAGCAGUGAAAUGCGUAGAUAUCAAGUGGAACACCAGUGGCGAAGGCGAGUCCCUGGAAAACUCCUGACACUGAGGCACGAAAGCUAGGGGAGCAAACAGG